UCCCAGUGUCAUUUCCAUAUCCUGGGCUC
RNAcentral lists this non-coding RNA (29 nucleotides) under Rattus norvegicus (Norway rat). The record is from RNAcentral. Lineage: Eukaryota; Metazoa; Chordata; Mammalia; Rodentia; Muridae.